RNAcentral lists this long non-coding RNA (2654 nucleotides) under Sus scrofa (pig). RNAcentral's name for it is "lncRNA (ENSSSCG00040041891.1)". Lineage: Eukaryota; Metazoa; Chordata; Mammalia; Artiodactyla; Suidae. The record is from RNAcentral.
AGUGAGCUGUGGUGUAGGUCUCAGACGCGACUCAGAUCUGGUGUUGCUGUGGCUGUGGCAUAGGCCAGCAGAUACAGCUCUGAUUUGACCCCUAGCCUGGAAAUUUCCAUAUGCCAUGGGUACAGCCCUAAUAAGACAAAAAAAAAAAAAAAAAAAAACCGCACACACACAAUUUCUUCAAAAACUUAAACACAGUGUUACCUUAUGAGUCUACAGUUCCACUCCUGUGUACCCAAUGAAAAUAUAUGUCCAUACAAAAAUUUGUGCACAAAUGUUCAUAAUAUUAUUCAUAUUAGCUCAAAAGCAGAGACAACCCAGAUGUCCAUCUGAUCAAUACCUAAAUAAAAUGUGGUUUAUCCAUACAAUGGAAUAUUAUUUGGCAAUAAAGAGGAAUGAAGUACUUGAGGACCACAAAUCCUGUGAUUCCAUUCAUAUGACAUGUCCAGAAUAAGCAAAUCUAUAGAGACAAAAGUAGGUUAGUGGUUGCCUAUGUCAACAUGAAGUGAGGGGGUGCAGAAUGACUGCUAAUGAGUACUGGCUUCUCUUAGAGGGAACAAAAAUAUUAUAAAAUUAGAUUGUAGUGAUGGUUACACCACUGGUGGAUAUAUUAAAAGAUAUUUAAUUAUAUACUAUGAAUGGGUGAAUUGUAUGGAAUGUAGACUACAUCUGAAUAAAGCUUUUGUAAAGAGACAAUGGUGGCUUGAAUUAGCAUGGUAUCUGUGUAGAUUGUGCAAAGUGAUAUGAAUCUGUAUAUAUUUUGAAGGUAGAGUAAGAAGGACUUUCUGACAUAUUGUGAGUGGUACGAAAGAAAGCGAGGGCUCAAAGAUUUUGCUCUAAGCAACUGGAAUGUUGGAGUGAGCAACUAAGAGAGAGAAGACUGUGAAAGGCACAGUUUCAGGUAAUAAGAGUUCAAUUUGGAUGUGUCUAGUUGAAGAUGUCAAGAAGGUGGAAGGAAUAUAUAUGUGUGUGUGUGUGUAUACGUAUAUUUCACGUGUGUGUGUGUAACAUAUAAUGAAUGAUAUAUAACUCCAGACAGUGAGUUGAACUAGCAUUGCAAAAUAAUCUGUUAACAUAUGGAUAGAAUUGAAAACCAUAAGAAUGGAUGAGAUCACCAAGGGAGUGUGGAUAGCUAGAGAAGAGAUGAGGUCUAAGGACUGGUCCCUGGGACAGUCCAACAUUAAAAUGUUGGGGAAAUGAGGAAGAACCAGUAAAGAAGAUUGAGCAUGAAUAACUAGUGAGAUAAAAGGAAAAUCAAAAGUGUAUGCUGUCCUGGAAGCCAAGUGAAAAAAUGCUUUGAGGUGGAAGGAGUGACCAACUGUGUCAUAUGCUGCUGACAAAUGAAGUGAGGUGAAGGCUGAGAUGUGACCAUUGGACUUAACAACUGUGCAGUCAUGGGUGUCUUUGUCAAGAGCAGUUUUGAUGGUGCUAAGUGGAAUAGUCUGAUUGGAAUACAUUUAGGAGAAAAUAUAAGGAGACAAGGCAUUUCCAUACACCACCACCAAGAAUCAAAAAUGCAAUUUUUAAAAAGAUGCUGUAGCAAUAACAAUAUAAGGUAUCUAUAAAGAAAAUCUAACAAAGAUGUGCCAGAGAUCUCUUAUGGAGGAAAUUAUAAAACUUUAUUGAAAUAGAGAGCCAUGUCCUCUACCGGUAGGGCUACUCAAUAUUGUAAAGAUAGCCUUUCUCCCUGAAUCAAUCAUAGUCAGUGUAAUUCCAAUCAAAAUCUCAAUAGGGUUUUUCAUGGAAUGUGACAAACUGGUUCUACAAUUUGUAGGGGCAUGCAAAGAAAAGCCAAGGCAUUCUUGAAGAGCAACAAGGCAGAAAAACUUACUCUAUCAAAUAAUAAGAUUUAUCAUACAGCUAAAGUACUUAAAUGAGUGUAAUAUUGGCACAGAGUUUUGACAAAUAAGCCAAUGGAACAGAAUAGAAAACUCAAAAAUAGACUUACACUUGUUUAGAAAUUUGAUGUAUGAUGAGUGGCCCUGCAGAUCAGUGGGAGAAAUGAUUAAUUCUAUAAUGAUAAAUGUUGGGAAAAUUGGUUAGCCAUAAAGAAUAAAAUUAGAUUCCCAUCUCACAUCAAACACAAAAAUCAUUUCUGGAUAUAUUAAUACUUUAAACUUUUUAGAAGAAAAUAUAAUUCAGAGGUUCUCAACUGGCAAUACUUCCAUACAGGGAACAUUCAAAAAUGUAUUGAACUGUUUGGGGUUUUUAUAAUGAUGGGAACAGGCAUUUGGUACCCAAGGUCCAGGGAUGUUAAGUGUUCUGCAGUGUGAGAGCCAGCCCCACAUAAAGAAUAAGUGUCCUGCCCCAAAUGCCAGUAACCUCCCUGCUCACAAAGAAACAUUAAGAUAGGAAAAUUUCUCUGUGAUAUUGGGAUGGGGGAAAUGUCUUUAAAGAAAUACAAAAACAGGAGUUCCCAUUGUGGCUCAGCAGAUUAAGAACCUGACAAGUAUCUGAGGGUCCAGGUUCGAUCCCUGGCCUCACUCAGUGAGUUAAGGAACUGGCAUUGCCACAAGCUGCAGUGUAGGUCACAGAUGCAGCUCGGAUCCAGUGUUGCUGUGGUUGUGGUGUAGGUCGGUAACUGCAGCUCCAAUUCGACCCCUAGCUCCAGAACGUCCAUAUGCCACGGGCGUAGCCUUAAAAAGAAAAAAAAAAAA